CUUGUUUGCCACAUGCUCCUUGCUUCUGGUGCUUCCUCCGGGAAGUCUUCCAGGAUGCCCACUUUCUUCUGACUCCUUGUCCCUGGACUCUGGGCUGCUUCCCAUGUCUGGCCUCAGUUUACCCCCUACAAGCCUGAGAGCCCACAUGAUUACCACCUCUUUGCAAAUAAAGGAAGGGAGGCUGAGAGAUGGAAAAUCAAGGCAGGAGCACGAGGGUAACUCGCCCAAGGUGAGAAGACAAGAGACAACUGGCACACACCUGGCACUCACCUGGUCCCCAGCCACGCUUCAUGCUCAGAAGCCGCCUGUAUGGAGAACUGACAUUGUCACAUUCCAGCCGGAAAAGCGUCACCCAAACCAUGCCCCCGCCUCUUCUGCCUUUCUUCUCCCUCAAGCUCCCAAGGACAGACCUGUGUUUGCCCACCCAGGAAGCCUCCCACCUGCAGCUGAACACUUGGCUCACUCUGUUGCUGUGCUCACCUGCAGGGGCAGAUGGACCCGUCCCAGGUUUCAUUCAGAUGUCAAGACAAGCCUGGUGCCCUGGCACAUGCCUAUCAUCCUAGCACUUGGGAGGCUGAGGCAGGAGGAUCACU
Molecule: long non-coding RNA, 593 nt
Filed under: Heterocephalus glaber (naked mole-rat)
Lineage: Eukaryota; Metazoa; Chordata; Mammalia; Rodentia; Bathyergidae
Description: lncRNA (ENSHGLG00100034542.1)
Source: RNAcentral